RNAcentral lists this ribosomal RNA (515 nucleotides) under uncultured bacterium. RNAcentral's name for it is "partial 16S ribosomal RNA". It matches the Rfam family "Bacterial small subunit ribosomal RNA", at positions 28 to 523 of the family's 1533-position model. The record is from RNAcentral.
GAUGAACGCUGGCGGCGUGCCUAAUACAUGCAAGUCGAGCGAAUGGAUUAAGAGCUUGCUCUUAUGAAGUUAGCGGCGGACGGGUGAGUAACACGUGGGUAACCUGCCCAUAAGACUGGGAUAACUCCGGGAAACCGUGGCUAAUACCGGAUAACAUUUUGAACCGCAUGGUUCGAAAUUGAAAGGCGGCUUCGGCUGUCACUUAUGGAUGGACCCGCGUCGCAUUAGCUAGUUGGUGAGGUACAGGCUCACCAAGGCAACGAUGCGUAGCCGACCUGAGAGGAUGAGCGGCCACGCUGGGACUGAGACCCGGCCCAGACUCCUACGGGGGGCAGCAGGAGGUAAUCUUCCGCAAUGGACGAAAGUCUGACGGAGCAACGCCGCGUGAGUGAUGAAGGCUUUCGGGUCGUAAAACUCUGUUGUUAGGGAAGAACAAGUGCUAGUUGAAUAAGCUGACACCUUGACGGUACCUAACCAGAAAGCCACGGCUAACUACGUGCCAGCCGCCGCGGUAA